This 495-nucleotide ribosomal RNA is filed under the name uncultured bacterium. Its description in RNAcentral is "partial 16S ribosomal RNA". It matches the Rfam family "Bacterial small subunit ribosomal RNA", at positions 28 to 505 of the family's 1533-position model. The record is from RNAcentral.
GAUGAACGCUGGCGGCGUGCCUAAUACAUGCAAGUCGAGCGAACAGACGAGGAGCUUGCUCCUCUGACGUUAGCGGCGGACGGGUGAGUAACACGUGGAUAACCUACCUAUAAGACUGGGAUAACUUCGGGAAGCCGGAGCUAAUACCGGAUAAUAUAUUGAACCGCAUGGUUCAAUAGUGAAAGACGGUUUUGCUGUCACUUAUAGAUGGAUCCGCGCCGCAUUAGCUAGUUGGUAAGGUAACGGCUUACCAAGGCGACGAUGCGUAGCCGACCUGAGAGGGUGAUCGGCCACACUGGAACUGAGACACGGUCCAGACUCCUACGGGAGGCAGCAGUAGGGAAUCUUCCGCAAUGGGCGAAAGCCUGACGGAGCAACGCCGCGUGAGUGAUGAAGGUCUUCGGAUCGUAAAACUCUGUUAUUAGGGAAGAACAAAUGUGUAAGUAACUAUGCACGUCUUGACGGUACCUAAUCAGAAAGCCACGGCUAACUACG